Molecule: long non-coding RNA, 601 nt
Organism: Hemicordylus capensis (graceful crag lizard)
Lineage: Eukaryota; Metazoa; Chordata; Lepidosauria; Squamata; Cordylidae
Exons: 2
Source: RefSeq, a predicted model, not a curated record
AGCCGAGGGAAAGAGAUGGGAGCGGAUGGAUGCUGCCUAGCGCAAUACGAAGCCCAGCGGGGCAGCCGCGUAAGAUCUCUGGCGGCGGCGGACAUGGUCCGCAGGCUUGUGACGCCCCCUCAACUGAUAAGAUUGGUCACUUGUGGCGUAAGCUUUCGUGGACUAUGAAAAGGGUCCUGGCCCAGACCCUCGAAAGCGUCUGACACAAUACAUCGAUUAGUCUUUUAAGUUGUCCGAUUAAGAUUCCUAUUUGCUGACCCAUAUGUAUCAGUCGAAGCUGACAAAAAGCACUCCUGGCCACAGCCUCAACCUGAGAAACCAGGAAGCGUUUGGGAUCCAGGAGCACUCCCAGACUACAAAUCUGAUCUUUUAGGGGGCAUGUAACCCCAUCCAGAAGAGGCAGAUCUAAACCAUCUCUCGGAUCCCGGCUGCCUACAGACAAUACCUCUGCCUUGUUCAGAUUCAACUUCAGCCUGUUAUUCCUCAUCCAGCCCAAUAUCGCCUCCUAUUACCAAAGAUUAAACAACAAUUAAAAAAUUUAAAACGUUCAGAAAUUACAGCAAUUUUUUUUAAAGCAGCAAUUAAAAAUUUAAAACAUUCA